This is a long non-coding RNA of Fundulus heteroclitus (mummichog), 1018 nucleotides long. RefSeq lists it as uncharacterized. The transcript has 2 exons. The record is from RefSeq and is a predicted model, not a curated record. Lineage: Eukaryota; Metazoa; Chordata; Actinopteri; Cyprinodontiformes; Fundulidae.
AUAUAUAUAUAUAUAUAUAUAUAUCGCACUGCAUGGCGGACUUUAUUUCUUAGCGAUGAAGAGGAAGACGCGGCUGGAUCAAGACAAGUUUUGAAGUUCUGUCAACGAUGGACGAAUGAAGAUCCAUGGUUCAUGGCAGAAAAAGGGGAGAAAAUCAAUGCGACAGCGCUCGCUCGUUCACCCUGAACUGACGGUGAACCCCCCCCCCCCCGGCACGCUGCCAGCCUCUCCGCCCUGUCCCACCGCAUUCGAGGGUCACCACGGGGGUGUCUCUGCGCUAAUAUGCAGAUCGAGCCGCUGCCCCUCCGAUGACUCUGGCGUUAAGCUCCACCUCCCUCUACAGGGCGGAGGCUUUGAGAUUAAGUCUUCUCCCUUCAACGAGACUCUCACACAUAGACGUGAACUGUCUCUCGCACGGACUUCACCAACUUGCAUCCGCUCUAAUUUUCCGAAGCUUAAGGACAAUAUACAGAAUGUGCAUGCUGAGACAGAAAGAGAAAAAACAAAAAUACAAGGUCAUACCUCUUCAACACAGUUCAAUGAGGUAUCAACUCUUGUCUAGAGUCAGUAGCCAAAAACACAGGCAAACCCUACAGGUUUAUCUAAGAUUCUAAGGUUAUUGAGCAAGUUUUUUUGGGCUGGAGUAUCUGUCAUGAAUUACAAUGUAAUAAGCAACUUUUUGUAACUUUACAAGUUUUUUUCUACCUUGUAUAUAACUCCAAAACAGAGGGAGUGUAUUCGUAUUUUCUGAUAGAUCUAUAUUCUAUGUAAAUGCUUGUUUUAAAGUUUUGUCAAUAUAAAUUUAUAGACAGCAAAUUAAAUAAAAAAUGUGGGCAGCCAAGAGUAGAGUACAAAGGCACUAGUUUGAGUACAUUUCUAAUUGUAAUUGUGUCUAAUGGGCUUGAAAGCUAAAUGUAUUAAUGCAUGAGGGCAAAACUAUGUAAUGUGCAAAAUGUUUUUGUAAUUCUUAUUGCAAUUUUUACCUUGCAUCCAACAAUAAAACUGACGGUGAAUAUUU